GGUUAAGCGACUAAGCGUACACGGUGGAUGCCCUGGCAGUCAGAGGCGAUGAAGGACGUGCUAAUCUGCGAUAAGCGUCGGUAAGGUGAUAUGAACCGUUAUAACCGGCGAUUUCCGAAUGGGGAAACCCAGUGUGAUUCGUCACACUAUCAUUAACUGAAUCCAUAGGUUAAUGAGGCGAACCGGGGGAACUGAAACAUCUAAGUACCCCGAGGAAAAGAAAUCAACCGAGAUUCCCCCAGUAGCGGCGAGCGAACGGGGAGCAGCCCAGAGCCUGAAUCAGUGUGUGUGUUAGUGGAAGCGUCUGGAAAGGCGCGCGAUACAGGGUGACAGCCCCGUACACAAAAAUGCACAUGCUGUGAGCUCGAUGAGUAGGGCGGGACACGUGGUAUCCUGUCUGAAUAUGGGGGGACCAUCCUCCAAGGCUAAAUACUCCUGACUGACCGAUAGUGAACCAGUACCGUGAGGGAAAGGCGAAAAGAACCCCGGCGAGGGGAGUGAAAAAGAACCUGAAACCGUGUACGUACAAGCAGUGGGAGCACAGAGCAAUC
RNAcentral lists this ribosomal RNA (551 nucleotides) under Escherichia coli. RNAcentral describes it as "partial 23S ribosomal RNA". It matches the Rfam family "Bacterial large subunit ribosomal RNA", at positions 1 to 591 of the family's 2925-position model. The record is from RNAcentral. Lineage: Bacteria; Pseudomonadati; Pseudomonadota; Gammaproteobacteria; Enterobacterales; Enterobacteriaceae.